AACGUAUUUUCUAACCUCUAAAUUCUCAAAACAAAGUUAACAAACAGUUGCGCGCACAACCAUAGAUUAUACCGUACGUAGUACGCGACGUGAGCAACAAACAUCAUUCGAUACAUCGAAAGACGGAGGUUUGAGAGAAGUAUUAAUUAUUUAGACAAAAGUGUUACGCUACGCUAAAAAUACUGUUUGAUGUGUGCCGGGAUUGUUUAUUGUUAUUGUUGAGUUUAUUUUCAGGUUACGUUAUUUAGACACCGCAUUGUAUUUGUGCUACAAUAUGAAUGAUCCUGGAGAUAAAAAGAAACGAAAGCAAUUCACGCUUAAGGAAAAAGUGGAUAUACUCAGAGAACUAGACACGGGGAAAAAAGCAAGUCGCAGUUGCGAAUACCUACAUAUGGCAUUGCGGCUCUCCUGUAGCUAUUUUUUUUAUAUAUUUUUUUCUCUUUGUAAAGAUAUGUAUGCAUGUUUCAGUGCUAAGUACAAAAACUUGAGGUACCUGUAAGUACUUAGCACUGAGAUUCUACUGUAAUGUCUUUAUAUGAUUUGCUUGUUAUUACUAAUAAUGUAAUAACAUAUGCAAAUCAUAUAAAGACAUUAAUUAGAAAAAAGAUUUCCAUUAAGAUUAAUUUACGUGGUGAUGAAAAAAACUCACGUUAAUGAAAAUACGGUAAAAUCAUAAUUUGAACAAACAUGGCAGAUAAAGUAAACAAAAUUCAACCGUGAUUACAGUAGGUCUAGGUAUCAAAACAAAAUCAUGCAAUAUUUGAAAAAUUACCUGAUUCAUUUGCUUUCAAACAGUAGUGUAGGUACUAUAUUCGUAAAACAUACAUUCCAGAACUGCUAGUACACUAUUUAGUAUUUACCGUAUACACAUAAACAAAGAACGUACCUACUUUUAUUCGCGCACAGCCAAACAAAAACAUUGUCGUCUGCUUUAUUUAAAUUUUACAUACUCUGACUGGCAUAUAAAAUCCUCAUAAUAUACAGCCAAUUAGACAAAAAGGUCAACAAGUCACUGCAUGUAAUGACCACUUGGCAGCAACCAUUUGUUAUGUUUUGUUUUGACCAUGUCCCUUGCCUGGUUUACAGCUUCCUGAGCUAGCCAUGUGUGACAGUGGUGCAAGAUGGCGGCCGUUCCGCAGUAGUCACGUGUUUUUUCAUCAGUACCAUGCACGUGAUAAAUAUAUUAUCAUAGACUGCGACAUUACGACUGUAAAGGAAAUAGUCUGUGCGCUGAAAGAUCUGGAUUGAUUCUUGAAAUUUACGAGUGACAUGGGGCUGUGUUGUGUGGUCUAGGGCGGAUGUUGAAUUUAUUAAAUAGUAAUAUUUAUAUAUACAUCAAAAGGUACCAAAAUGAUUUAUGUAAUAGAAUUUAUUACUGAAGAGCAAAUUUUGGGGCACUUUUUUUCUUUGUUAAUUAAAAAAUUUCGCUUAACUUUCGUUAAGAAUAUAUUUAUCUCUCAGAAAAAUUCAUUUUCGUUUCGCUUUCGCGAAACUUGAUAAAUUUUCUUUCACUUUCAUUUCGUGUGGAUAAAGUCACUUUCGCACAUCCCUAAUUUUUUUCUUUUAACCGCGACGUCGGCCGCGCAUCGCCCUCCAUCUUCCGACCAGGCAACAUGGCUGUGCCUAACAACAACUACUACCCUGUUUUGACAGGGUCCUAGUCCCCCCUCCCCCAAAGAGAAAGAAACCAUCAUGGGGAACUAAGGAAGCCCGGCGACCUCCAAUUUUGAAUUGGUGGUUUCGCCAGUGGAAGCUCUCACCCCCGGCCUUUUCGCCAUCAGCUACGAACCGCCAGAAAAUCUUCAGUUCGUGAGAGCGAGUGCCAGUGAAAGUUUUAUUUUGUAAAUUUCCAAAUGUAAUUUCAGAAAUCAGAUUCGAACCAGUUUAACAGCUUUGGUCUCUUCAGCCAUCUCGAAAUUGUAUAUGUGAAAUUUUUAUAAUUAACCAGUGAUAAGCUAAUAUGGUGAUUACAGAUUAUUGUAAAAUGUUAAAACUUUACGGUUUCUUUAAGAAUGAUGUGUUGGAAAAAUAAUUUUCUAUUCGCGGCCCGGGUCGGCAAAUGAUUAGGUAGACUGAGCUCUCUUUAAUAAUGGUUAAAUGAUAGAAGUGUUUUCUCUUUAUAGCUUGUAACAGAAAAUCUUGAAAACAAACUUUGACCUUAAAUAAAAGGAUGCCUAUAAACGUAACUGUUUAUUUUUAUUACUUAAGGCAAUAACGAUCCACACUAAACUCCCAAGUCUUGAUAGGGAGUUUACAAAUUUUCUUUGGACCCACCCCGUGUCUGCCUCUGAUGUUUAAAUUUUGUUCUUAUUUCUUCUUUUCUGCCCGCCACUUCCAAGGCCUGUUUUGUCGACAUCUUGUCAAUAUUAAUAACAAGGACAGGAGGGGCGUUUCAAUUGGUAGCAGAGCAUGGUUUCGUCUAUAGGCAUACCUGAAUAGGCAUACUUAGAAAAAAAGAAAAAAAGAAAA
Long non-coding RNA from Bacillus rossius redtenbacheri, 2469 nucleotides. RefSeq lists it as uncharacterized. The record is from RefSeq and is a predicted model, not a curated record. Lineage: Eukaryota; Metazoa; Arthropoda; Insecta; Phasmatodea; Bacillidae. The transcript is spliced from 2 exons.